This 67-nucleotide transfer RNA is filed under the name Tylomelania sarasinorum. Its description in RNAcentral is "tRNA-His". The record is from RNAcentral. Lineage: Eukaryota; Metazoa; Mollusca; Gastropoda; Pachychilidae.
GUUGAGCUAGUUUAACUAAAAAUCUUAGUUUGUGGCACUAAAGAUGAGUAUAAUUAUUCGUUCAACU